RNAcentral lists this small RNA (485 nucleotides) under Pongo abelii (Sumatran orangutan). Its description in RNAcentral is "processed transcript". Lineage: Eukaryota; Metazoa; Chordata; Mammalia; Primates; Hominidae. The record is from RNAcentral.
UGGCGACUGGCAUGUGGGAUAGGGGUGGAAGGGAAUCUUUUUUUGGUGCUGCAGAAGAUAAGGGGCUCUACCCUCCUGUGGAGUAGUGUGAUACCCCAAGAAUGGAGAAAACAGAAAUUCUCAAGAUACGCAGCUGAUGCUGGAGGAUCAACUCACUAUCCUGAAGGUCCAUUCUCCCAAGAAGAAGGGACAGAAAGACAGAUCUAUUUGUAAGAAAGGCUUGGGUAUCCCAUGAACGAGCCAACAGAAAACCGAUUGGGGUGCAGCAGGACUCCAGAGCCAGAUAUAAGGCUCAGAAAAGGGCACCAACUGGAUGCUACAAGAAGAGGUGAUAAUGACAGCCACCAAGGAGAUUUGGAGCCCAUUUUAGAGGCAUCUGUUCUGUCUUCCCAUCAUAAAAAAAGCUCUGAGGAACAUGAGUACAGUGAUGAAGCUCCACAGGAAGAUGAGGGGUUUAUGGGCAUGUCCCCUCUCUUACAAGCCCA